Molecule: non-coding RNA, 2949 nt
Organism: Dermatophagoides farinae (American house dust mite)
Lineage: Eukaryota; Metazoa; Arthropoda; Arachnida; Sarcoptiformes; Pyroglyphidae
Source: RefSeq, a predicted model, not a curated record
AUUAAUUGAGAAAUUUAACGUUUUCAUAAAUAUUGGUGAAAUUAGCUCAAUUAGCAUUGUCACCUGUCGAAUUAACCUGAUGAAUGAAGUUUCCCAUCAAUUUAAGUUUCUAUUGUAUAAAGAGUUGUUGAUCGGAUAAAAUAUUAUUUGGGAAAGGUUUGAUCGGUUUGAAUAUCGAAUUAUUUCUAUUAUCAAAAAUUUUAAAUUGAUUUGUCAAUUUAACGCUAAAGUAGAAUUUUUAUCAAAGAAUUAUUCCAAACAAACUAAGGUUGCUAGCUCCAUUGAAUGAAUUGUUAAAGUAAGAUCGAGAUUUUAAUUGGACAGCGGAUGUUGAAAUAACAUUUAAUAAAUAAUUAAAAUCUUAACAUCUGAUCUGGUGUUACAUAUCUUUGAUCCUGAUAAAGCAGUAAUUACUAUUACUUUUAAAUCCAAUGUUAGUAUUGGGGCUGUCCUUAAACAAAAGAUACUGAAUUGGAUGAUGACAGAGAUAUGUUAACGGUUGGGUAUUUCUUUAGAAGAUUAUAACAGUAUAAGAUAAAUUAUUCUGCUUUCGAAAAUGAAUGCUUAGCUAUAGUUGAAUUAUCAACAUACGGGCAUCAUUAAAUGUAUUGAAAAGAAUUAAUAAUUCGAACUAAUCAUAAGUAUUUGAAGUUUUCAACUCAAUUUUACAUCCUCAACCAUAGAAUUUUGAAUUGAGUUUUGGGGCUAAAGUCAAUACAAUUUUGAAGUUGUAUCUAGAAUGUCUAAAGCAAAGCAGUUCUAAAGAAAAUAAGGUUACUUCAUCAUCUCGGCUCGGCAGCAGAGCUAUCUAAGAUAAAUUCAUAUUGAUUUUAUUGGAAAUUUUAGAGAGUUUUCUCUUAAUUAAGGUAUUUUCAUGUGACAAUAGACACAUUUUCUUGAUACGUUUGGGGAGUAAUAUCUAAAACCCAAAACGUAAGUGAUUUUCAACGGUCAAAUAAUAAAAUAAAAAAAAAAACUUAGUUCUAAGGCUAGAAGGUCCAUUAGGAAAUUUUAAUUUGAUUUGUCCCCACCCACUGAUGUAGUGAAAACCGUUUGUGAAUCAUGAAGAUAUUGUUUACAUAGAAAAUAUUGAUCUGGUAAAUUCAAAUGAGUUAGUUCCUGAAGAAUCCGAUGAAGAAGAGGAAGACAUACAGUAAGAACAAUCAGAGUUAGAAGACAAUUUGAUCAAAAGAAAUUUUGAAUUAGUUCAAACACCUGUAUCUCCACUUCCCUCAACGACAUCAACUUCAAUUUCUAACCAAAUUUAAACACGUCACAACCAACUAGAUUGGCGUUAAUGAAUCAUCUGUUUACCAUCAUAAAUCUCCAAUUAUAUGAAUCUAUCAUGUCCCAAGAUAAUAAUAAUCGAAUAAACAACAACAUAAAACAAUCAAAACAAAUGUUAAAUUUUCAUCAAGAUUUUGUUUCUUCCAUCAGUAGUGAAUUCAGUAGUUGUCAAUGUAUAUUAAUCAAAAAUAUUUUGCUGUAUCGUACAGUCAGCAUUAUAUUUCCUCUUUCCUUUCCUAUUCACACAAAUUCGCCAGUAUUUUUGUUGAUUUUGAAAAAAAAGAAACAUCGACUUGUUUACAGCUUACGUCUAUGCACAGAUCAACAUUCAUCUUAAAUCAUUAUAAAUGGUAAUCAAAGGACACUCGUGUGAAGUUUUACAAGAUGGCUAAAGAAACGAAGAAUAACCGUUUGGUCUUUUGACAUCUUUAAUGAAAUAUGUUAUGAUGCAGUGUUAAAUGUGUUUGAUGUAGUGAUUUUAUCAUUAAUAGUUGUAUCAUCGAUGAUAUUUGGUGCUUUCAUCAAAAACCGAAUACAAAUCUCUGAUCAAUCAAUAACAGAGAUAGAAAAUAGAAGAUUUGUCAAAAGAUUCAUGAAGAUAUUCAUGGAUUGAUUUAACAUCUAACAACGAACUAAACAAAAUAGAAUGUGUCUACGUAACCAGAUUCUUUUCAUCUAUAUUCAGUGCCAGUAUUCUACAAGCAGAAUGAAGUAUCAUUGAAGUAUUUGAGUGAAAAUCUCCGAAGUUGUUUGCAAUUAAAACCACGAAUGAAGAUAAUUGUUGCUCUAUGAAUACACUGGUCUGAAUUUCUAUUCCCUUUUAAAAGCGUCAGACAUUUUCUUCGAUUUAAUUAAUGAUUAUCAAUCGACAUUUGUGUUCCAUUCAAUUAGUAAGAAGAAUAUUUGUCUAGAAGAUAUAUGGAAUCUUUUUCACUGUUUGGGUCAACGUUUCCUUAUAAGAGUCAAGUUUAUGGAAUUCAACAUGGACGAAACAUCAUUGAAAUGGUUGGUUGAUAACAUAAAAAAAAAAAAAAAAAAAUAUCAUCAUGACAGAAUCUUCAUAAUCAAACCUCAUUGGUCUUCAACGAAAAACUAGCUGUGAAUUAAGUGUGAUUGAAAAAAAAUUUUUUUUUUUUUUUUGCAGUCUAAAUUAUUUAUAAUUAUAAUCAUUGGUUAACAUAUUUGGCACAGAAACUAUUCUUUUUUGUAUUGUAAAGAAACAAUUUAAAUUUAUUGUAUCGAAACAGUUGAAUGUGUUUUAAAUGUUUUACCUUGAUUGACAAAUUAUAUUUGUAAUGAAUUUUCAUUAUUUGAAAAGCGAAUGAGGAAUCAAUGAACGAUUUUCCAACAAACUUACAUCGAUUUCACUCUCUCUCUUCUAAAGUUACUUGAAACAAACUAUGAUGUUUUGAAUUGAAUAUUGUUUUCAACAAUCUUUCAAUUUAAUGGAAUAUGUCCAUUUCAAAUUUCUUUAGUAUUGUUUAUGGAAUCUGUUCCUGAUAAUGGAAAAUAUAACGAUUCAUCACAAUUCACUAUACGUUAUAUUUUGAAAUUAAUAAUAUUGUUGUCAUUGGUGACUACCGAUUUUUGGUCAGUCUAUGAUGAUAAAAUAUAAAUUGUUGGAUACCAUUGAAGAAAUUCUGAAAUCAUUGAACAUUCUCA